This 513-nucleotide long non-coding RNA is filed under the name Trifolium pratense (red clover). RNAcentral's name for it is "long non-coding RNA (TPRA_LNC013489)". The record is from RNAcentral. Lineage: Eukaryota; Viridiplantae; Streptophyta; Magnoliopsida; Fabales; Fabaceae.
AUUUUUCAAGGUUUUGAUAUCUGGGUUUUGGUCUAGUGCUUUGGAGAGAAGUUCCAAAGCAAGAAUUGGGUUUUUUGAUUUGUGGAAUGAAGAAACCAAUGCUUGUAAUUCGGAAAUGUUGCGAGGCAUUUUAUAGAAUGACAUAGAACGGAGAGGAGGAGUGUAUGGUUCAUACGGCCACCGACAAGCUCUCGCAUGCGUAGGCGUUGUUAGCUGAAACUGUUGUUGGUAGUCUCAAUUUGAUCACUUAUCCUUUAUAUAUUAAAACAAAAUACUCAAAACUGCACCAUAAUCCCGCCUAAUUAUCUUCCACUUCUUUCUUCUGAUAAAAAAAAAUAAAAAAAUUGCAUGCUUAAUUUUCACUAAUCCACCAGCCGCCCAAAGUAAUAAUACACUACUUCCAAUACCUCUGUCCUUUCGGUUUUCUUUUUUCCUUUUUUCCUUUUUUUCCAAAUUCCAUAAAAAUCUUUCUUCUUAAUUACUCCUACACACAUUAUACCUAUUCGAUAUUCU